RNAcentral lists this long non-coding RNA (333 nucleotides) under Physcomitrium patens. Its description in RNAcentral is "long non-coding RNA (PPAT_LNC003510)". Lineage: Eukaryota; Viridiplantae; Streptophyta; Bryopsida; Funariales; Funariaceae. The record is from RNAcentral.
AGAUUUGAAAUGAAGAAUAGGAGUUGAGAACAAGGGAUGGAGAUUGGAAAUGAGGAAUAGGAGUUGAGAACAAGGGAUGGAGAUUGGAAAUGAGGAAUAGCAGUUGAGAACAAGGGAUGGAGAUUAGAAAUGAGGAAUAGGAGUUGGGAACAAGGGAUGGAGAUUGGAAAUGAGGAAUAGCAGUUGAGAACAAGGGAUGGAGAUUGGAAAUGAGGAAUAGCAGUUGAGAACAAGGGAUGGAGAUUGGAAAUGAGGAAUAGCAGUUGAGAACAAGGGAUGGAGAUUGGAAAUGAGGAAUAGCAGUUGAGAACAAGGGAUGGAGAUUGGAAAUGA